Molecule: long non-coding RNA, 2563 nt
Organism: Phyllostomus hastatus (greater spear-nosed bat)
Lineage: Eukaryota; Metazoa; Chordata; Mammalia; Chiroptera; Phyllostomidae
Exons: 3
Source: RefSeq, a predicted model, not a curated record
AGGGUCACAGCUCCGCCAAGCAGGAAAGGGACUCGUGGUGUUGCCAACCCUGCUCCGUCGGCCGCGGUGCCGGUGCGGGGGACAGUCCCCCUCAGGGGCCCAGCCCGGUCACCGCCGCGGUGUGGUCCCCGCUGUGGACGCGCCCACGUGGCAAUGAAAACAUGUUCUUGGUGAGGAUAAAAAAGGAAAUGGGCAAAAGACGAAAAGGACAGGCCACCGAAGAGGACACACAGAGGGCACGCAGUGACACGUGGCUGCCGUCAUCAGCGUUCAGGGAAACGCCAGUGCGAACCACGAAGUUCAGUCAGCAACUGGUCCACCGAAAGCAGUUUGCACGGGCGGCGGGCAGCCAAGAGGACGGCUCUGCUCACCGUGGUCUGCUCCCCCCGCCAGAGAGAAGCUCCUGGGGUCACCCCACUCUGCCUCCCUCCAGCACAGCUGGGGAGAGGCCAGCACAGGGGCGCAUGCACCCACCGUUGUGGCUACAAGUACCUGGGAUGCAGAUUGCUGGCCCAGCCCCUCCCGUCAAGAACCCCACAGUCCCAUUCCAUCCGGUACUGCUUGGACCUAUUCGGCCUACAAGUGUGGAAAGAGCUGGUUUGCUCACUUCUGUGAGAGUGUGUGUGUGUGUGUGUGUAGUGUGACAUGGGUAUGGGACGAGGACUCUCUGGGGUGCGUGUCUGUGAGAGAGUGAGUGAGCGAGGGAGUGGGAGGGUGCCUGGCAUUGUGGGGUCCUGACGGCCCCCAUUUGUGUGUGUGUGUCUGCGGUGAGCGGGGGCCUGGUGUGCGGCACAGGGUUGUGUGGGCUGCGGCACUACAGGCGAGAUGGGUCUCUCUCUUCUGCGUGGUGUGGGUGAAGCGGUUACCUGAGUCCUCUGUCUGAAGGGGAAAGGUGCGUACCUACUUCUUCAGUGUGUAGUGUGUGAACCUUGUUCGCUGUGUGUGUGUCUGGUGUGAGACUGGUGUGUGUUAGAUGCAACACUGUGAGGGGAGUGAGAUUUCUCGCUAUUGCAAGCCAGGGAGGUGGCCUGCUGUCCCCACGGCCCCACGUCCCCACGUGUGUGUUCCCAGGACACACGGUGCAGGGAAGAGGCAGAGAGCGUCUGUCCUGCCAGGGGCAGCCACACCUACAUCUGGGUCCUCCAGCUGGCCCCCAGCGUCGGGCGGCAUCUGCCCCUGCGGUGCCGUGCGUUUUGGAAGAAGAGCCUUGAUAUUAGGAAACUCACCCAUCCGCUUUCUGCAGAGAAGAAACUUCUCUUUACUCUGGAUCAUAAGCAAAUCCCCAGGGAGAGAAGGCAGGGGGCAUCUUCCUGCCUGCCCUAGACGCCUCCCAGACAGUCGUUCUGAACGUGGCUGUGAAUGGCUUCUCUCCGAGGACCGGGACAGGCAGACACAGACAUGCGAGACGUCCACGGACAGCUGCUUCCCCACGGUAUCUAUUUUUUAAAGAAUAUUUUGAGGUGAGUAUCCAUUUUUGGGGGGGUGUGAACUUUUCAUGAUGGAUCUUCUAGCAUCGUGCUCUGAGGUGUAAAGUAAGUAUCGUGUGUGUGACUGAGUGUCUACUUUACUUGUGUAAAGUGCAAGAGUGUCUAACUGUGUUCUCUAUAUGGUUGAAAUUAGUACCUCAUUUUUCUGUCGGUCGAGUGGCAUGAAAUUUUGCAUACAGUGUGAGAUAGUUAACAGGUUUUUCUGGUAGAUACUGGAAAUGUAUUCUACAUUUUGUGGGUGUGUACUGAUAUGUGUCCAUUUGCAUACAUGUGCUAUGAAUUGACGAUCUAAUAUUUUGCAUAUGGUAUGAAAUAGAUACCUCGUUCUUGGUAUGUAUGGUGAGAGAGGAUAUAUAACCUUUCAUUUUUGUGUUUUUGAGAUGAAUAUCUGUUUUCUGUAUUGUGUAAGAUCAUUAUGUAUGUAUGCAUGUGUGUAUUUAUGGUGUGAGUUACUUAUCUAAUUUUACAUUUUUCCUGUGAGGAAAAAUGUGCAGCAGUUUCAUUUUUAUUAGUUCUAAGUAUUUUGUAGUCUCUUUGUUAUAAGGACUUUUUUGAGGUAUAAUCCUCACAUCACACAAUUCAUCCAUGAAUGUGUACAGGUCAAUAGAUUUGAGUAUAUUUACAAAUGUGUCAACCAUAACUACAAUCAAUUCCAAAGCAUUUCAUCACCCCAAAAGAAACUUUGUUCCCAUUACGGGUAACUGCCCACCCCCAGCUUCCCAGCCCCUGGGAAUCCCCGAUCUGCUCUCUGUGUCUUGGCUGUCGUGAUUGUGAACACUGCGUGUAAAUAGAAUCAUAACACGUGGUCUUUUGUGAUGGUUUUCUUUCCCGAGCCUCAUGUUUUCAAGGUUCAUCCAUGUUGUAGUGUGUAUUAGUACUUCCCUUCUUUUUUGCCAAGUAAUAUUUCAGUUCAUGGGUAUGCCACACUUCAAGGGUAUACCACACUUUUUUUAUCCAUUCAUCGGUUGGCGUGUGCGCUGUUCCCACCUUAGGGCCAUCAUGGAUGUUGCUACUGUGAACACUGUGUUCUGAUUUGGGGGCAGACGUACGUCUCUUCUUAUACCAGCACCACGCUG